CUUAUCCGCCCCUCCUUUUCCGGCCUUCUCUCUCUGCUUCCUGCUCCAGCAUACAGGACUCUCUCUCUAAGGCAGAACCUAAUUUGAGAGGCCCAAUCCCUCCUAACAAAUGGAGGGUGCCGGAAUCACUGGAAGGAGACUAAAAUCCCAGCUAAAGGGAUCUGCUGCUCUCUUCACAGAAAAUCCGGAGCACAGAGACAAUGGUGUCUAUAGGACUAAGCAUCCUGGGUCCCCCCUGUGUAUGCAUCAGAAUGUCAGCUAAAAGUGGAUUCCAUGUAGCGGACUGCUGAAUGAAAAGGUGACCACAUAUCCUGUGUUCACUGUGUCAGACUUGUCUUCAUGGAUUCAGAGUUGCAGACUUCCUUUUUUCUCUCUAAUUGGGCAAGGUGAACUGAAUGCAGCUGGAUGUAGAGAUGCAGACGAGAAAAAAAAACAGGUAACAAUUUAUGCGAUCACUGAAGGUAACAUGCUUAAGCCACAAGUAGCUACAAAUAUCUAUAAACCGGUUUCUGGCUUUUUUUAUGCUCAAUGUUUUUAUUGCCAAACAAAUGUAGUGGCCCAGUAACUGAUUACUCCAUACACUACACUGUGUAGCAGGAGGUGCCUGGCUGAGUGAGCUGACAGGUCCUGUACAACUUUGUUAGCAUCUGACAUCUUUUACUGAAAAUGCUUAUUUGCAUUGCUAUAAAAAUGAUGCUUAUAGUCUGUGUAUGCGGCUGUAAUUGCAUAUGAAAGGUAUGUUAGUGUUCUAUGAAAGCACUAGCGUACCAUUUUGUAUACAGAUACAGCCGCGGUCAUACACAGAAUAUAGGCAUGCCGCAUAUCAUUUUAAUCUGCAUAAGAUGACUGUGCGUCCUAUUCGCAUCAUUUUCUGAAUAAGAUGUAGUUUAAUGGAAUAAUUUGCACGUACAGGCGCUCGGCGCUACAGUCACACCAUGGCAUGACUAUAAGGGUUGUUUAAUGUGCAGGGAGACUAUAUAUGUAAGUGGAUACAUCUGUAGGCGCAAGUGGGUAAAAUGGGGGCACAAGAUAUAAAGUAGUGAGGGCUCUUGUGAGAAUUUACAACCUAGAGGGAUGGGGUAGCUGGCGAUAAUGGGAGAAACAUGCAGCCAUACUAGAUGUGUAUUAUAUCCACAUCUGUUAUGGAUAUCUAGAAUCUGUUCUGUCAAUUGAUGUGCUAUCCUUCAACCUAGAACAUUACAAAUUCACUUAGCCAGAAAGUAGGUAUUUUGCAGAAUGCACUGGUGGCCAUGAUUUAGGUUCUUGAUUCUCCACUUUUAUUUAUACACACUAAACAAUAGUUUCACAACUGUUUCAGUAUUGGUAAAACAACAAAUAGCUUUCAGGAAGUUGCCAUUUCCUGGUCCGUUAGCUCCUCCUUGCUAGCCUCUCUCCCUCCUUCAGUCAGAGGGGCCAACUCAAUGAGGAGCCAGUCAGCUAAUCCUGCCAGUAGGUGUGUACAUAUAGUGUGCUGUAGCUCUGAGGGGUUAUGUAUGGAAUCCAAACGCUGAGAAUGCAGAUAGCUUUCGUAUUUUACACCUAACCCGCCCUACCACAGCUUAACCCAACCCAUCAUACUCACCUUGUGUCUGGAUCCUGACAGCAUCCCACUCUGAGAACGUGGAGUUUUGUUCCUAGUCCCACAGUGGUUACUGGUUUCGCAGUGCAGUUCAGCUCCCACGAUGGAGUGAGGAUAUCCUAUUGUCUGCCAAGUGGUGUGGUUUUUUAUUUAUUUUGUUUUUCCUUAUAAGAUGGUAAUUAUUUAUACCUAUGAGUACAAUGUUUGAAAACUUGUUGGUAUUCUGCAAUGAUGAGUUUGCAUAGUCCGUGUUUCACCUGAAACUACUAUGAUUAUGUCCAUGCCCUGAGCAGGUUUUUUUUGUAUAUGUAAAUAGUCUGCUAUGAUUUUGCUAAAUGGUAUUUUCCUCUAGAUGACUGCUUUGGGACCAAGUAUCCUGGGUCCACUCGGUGCUUGUCACACUGUCAGGUAAAGUGGACUGCACAUAGCCGACUGAGUGAGGCAUUGAAUGACCUGAAGACGAUGCAGUUGUGUGAAGCUCCUGCUGAAGAUAAAAGGCUUUGUGGCAUCUGUUGUGUAAUAAGUAUCUGUUAAUGACUUUGUUGAAGUGUUAAAGGGUUACUUGAGCUUAUAUUGUUUAUAAACAAAUUAUAUAGUUUGCUCCUUCUAAGCAAAACCUAAAAUAAACUACUUGAUUUAAAUCUAUACAAGAAGUUCAUCACAGUGCAGAAAAUGGUUAAUCCCCUACAGGUAUCUGACAUGGCCUAAGCACCUCUAGGCAAACAGUUAUUAAAAUGUGACCUACAUAUUGCAAGUGUUGGUUACAGCAUUAUAGUCAUACUUUAGCAUGGGUUCCUUCAGUGUAGCGUUGUCCAUAUGGCGCUCUAUUCUGGUCUGAAUGAUCAAUGUACAUAUAAAUCUACAAAGUGUAACCCCAGUGCUCCCCUGCAAGCAGGCGGUAAGCCUCACAUUUGGAACAGGUGGGAUGAGUCGAACGUGGGGUUUGCCCUUGGACCACGGACUAUCUUCAGAUUUUGGUACACAUAGACGCUUAUCAAUUGACACCUUAUAUCUAGCCUGAAAAACUAUUUAAAUAUACCUGCCUACUUUUGAAUGGACUGGUAUAUACGAUCAUUUGAUCAUGGGUACACACUGCCCAAUAUCUGUCACAUAUAUUGUGUACACAUGGACACCCAAUGGGAUACUUUGGGUGGGAUUCAAAUCUUUUAUUACCCCCAAUCUCCCGUAUGAAGUUACGGGAGGCCGCGGGGCGAUAUUCUCUGGCCCCCUGUUAUCGUGUCCAUAAGACGGAUUUAGCAGCUAAACCUGACUAAAGUCAUGGGCACAAUUGUGAAAAGUCCUAUUUGGGCAUCCAAACGGGUCACUUUUCAUGCAUUUCAGCUCGCCACCCAGGGGGUGGUGAGCUGAAAUGCUGAUAUCUCGCGCAUCAGCAGUAACAUUUGAAGCGGGAGGGGAGAUGCAAGAUUUGAAUCCCGCCAUUUGCAUUCAACUGAUUUAGUCAAUUUAGCUGGUUUAUGCCACAAAAACAUGUUACUUCUUGGUACAAUAAAACAAUUGCAUACUGCCCCAAGUGAUGGGGAAGAUGCCAUUCUGGGCAUCCAAUAAACAAUUGAACCACC
This is a long non-coding RNA of Pseudophryne corroboree (corroboree frog), 3159 nucleotides long. RefSeq lists it as uncharacterized. The transcript is spliced from 8 exons. The record is from RefSeq and is a predicted model, not a curated record. Lineage: Eukaryota; Metazoa; Chordata; Amphibia; Anura; Myobatrachidae.